GGUUGGGGCAGACAUAACCGUUCUUCGAGAGCGAGAAGUGGAUUAUGAUAGCGACAUGCCCCGGAAGAUCACCGAGGUGCUAGUACGAAAGGUCCCUGACAACCAACAGUUCCUAGACCUCCGUGUGGCCGUCCUGGGGAAUGUGGACUCCGGGAAGUCAACUCUGCUUGGAGUCCUGACCCAGGGAGAGCUGGACAAUGGGCGGGGCCGGGCUCGGCUCAACCUUUUCCGCCACCUGCAUGAGAUUCAGUCUGGCCGAACCUCCAGCAUCAGCUUCGAGAUCCUGGGCUUUAACAGCAAGGGAGAGGUGCAUGGGAUCAAUGGGACCCAAUGGGGCCAGACUCUGAGGAUGGGAUGGUAGUAGUGAAGGACAUAGGAUGGGGGUAGAGUGUGGAGACUUUUUGAAAUAGUAUAGAUGAAUGCCCUGAGGGGACUGUGAACAAGCUCUGCCCCUCUUAGGAAAUCAAUGGGGAAUCAACUAAAUUAAAUAAAAAAUGGGGUCAAGAUUAAGAGGCAGGGUCACCCAGGGAAUGGUUUAGGUCCUGGCAACUCUGAAGGGGUUGGAAGGGCUGGCAGGAGGCACUGAGGGCCCUGGGCCCUGGGCCAGGUGGUGAAUUACAGCGACUCACGGACAGCAGAAGAGAUCUGUGAGAGCAGCUCCAAGAUGAUCACCUUCAUCGACCUGGCAGGCCACCAUAAGUACCUACACACCACCAUCUUUGGCCUCACAUCAUACUGCCCCGACUGCGCCCUGCUCCUCGUCAGUGCCAACACUGGGAUUGCUGGCACCACAAGGGAACAUCUGGGGCUGGCCCUGGCCCUGAAAGUGCCCUUCUUCAUCGUGGUCAGCAAGAUCGACCUAUGUGCCAAGACCACAGUGGAGAGGACAGUACGCCAG
Molecule: small RNA, 898 nt
Filed under: Pan troglodytes (chimpanzee)
Lineage: Eukaryota; Metazoa; Chordata; Mammalia; Primates; Hominidae
Description: processed transcript
Source: RNAcentral